UGUUAUCUCUGCUCUAUAAGGUGUCGGCCGCCAUCCCCUAUUCACGUGCUUUUGUGUAUUGGAGAACCUGCUCAGCAAGCUGCAGUCUGCAACUUCGGCGGGAGGUUUAAUUCAAAUCCAGUACUGUUGCAUUUCAGCAAAAGCACAAGGGUGAAAGUCUUUGGUCCCCUUCAACUCCUGAGCAACAACAGCAGUGGCAUCUUCCCCUUCUUUCCCCUAAGGCUGUAGCUGCUCCAAACAAAGUUUGAGGCCACAGAGCGCAACACCCUCCUCACACACUCCCCAGGAUUGGACCCCCCAACUAGGCUCAGAUGGGAAA
Long non-coding RNA from Gadus morhua (Atlantic cod), 319 nucleotides. NCBI's taxonomy places the organism in Eukaryota, Metazoa, Chordata, Actinopteri, Gadiformes, Gadidae. The record is from Ensembl.